UCCAGAGCCUAGUUCCUAAGAACAUGAGCACAGGCAAAACAGCAGGAAUAUCCUUUGGACCCACAAAGAGAAACAUGAGCAAAGUAUGUCUCACCACAGUGAGUCAAGAGGAUCAGCUUGUUCUUCUAUGUGUGAUGGAGCAAAAAGAAACCUUUAACAUCAAAAAAAAAAAAUAGUAACAAGAGAAUAUUGUGUCAGCAAAAACAGGCAAAAACAAAACUCUGCAUUCUUUUCAAAGGCAUUAAUAUUGUCACAACAGUAAGGGCAAAGUAACAAAUUUCACUUCAACUUUGACCCUGUUAGUUGGUGCUGAGCUAAAAGUCAAAAGAAGUUACAGAGUUUCAGUGUGAGGUCUAGGGUAAAAUAAAAUAAGUUAAUGAUACAGGUUUUCUAUAUUUCCUCCAUUAAAAGUGUCAAUAAAGACAUUGGAAUUCUGAGGACUUUUCUGUAGUGGGAAAUAAGUUUGUUCAGGUUCCUGGCUUGCAAGGGCCUAUAGUCUGGCCAAAUGGCAUAACAAUCUUUGGGAUGGGGAGGGUGAUGAUAAAGUUUAUGCAGCAUUGCUAGCUACUAAAAUGCAGAGGAUAAGGCACAAAAAGUUUUCUUCAAGGUGUUGAAAGAAAAGUUCAUCCAAGGGUUCCCAUUGGCCUAUCAUUCUCCUGAACCAUAAAGAAAAUGUAUUAACACUUUCAUCACAUAAUUACUAAAGAUUACUGAAAAC
Molecule: long non-coding RNA, 718 nt
Organism: Oxyura jamaicensis (ruddy duck)
Lineage: Eukaryota; Metazoa; Chordata; Aves; Anseriformes; Anatidae
Exons: 2
Source: RefSeq, a predicted model, not a curated record